CAAUAGCGUAUAUUAAAGUUGUUGCGGUUAAAAAGCUCGUAGUUGGAUUUCGGCGGACAGGGGGCGGUUCGAUAUUUGUCGCUACUGCCCCAUUUGUCCGUGUUUUUGGCGGAGGUUUCAGGGUGCUCUUCACCGAGUGUCCUGGGUUGCCGUCAGGUUUACUUUGAAAAAAUUAGAGUGCUCAAAGCAGGCUUUACACGCUUGAAUAUUCGUGCAUGGAAUAAUGGAAUAGGACGUCGUUUCUAUUUUGUUGGUUUUCGGAAAUCGACGUAAUGAUUAACAGGGACAGUCGGGGGCAUUAGUAUUCAGACGACAGAGGUGAAAUUCUUGGACCGUCUGAAGACUAACUACUGCGAAAGCAUUUGCCAAGAAUGUUUUCAUUAA
This 384-nucleotide ribosomal RNA is filed under the name uncultured eukaryote. RNAcentral describes it as "partial 18S ribosomal RNA". It matches the Rfam family "Eukaryotic small subunit ribosomal RNA", at positions 592 to 976 of the family's 1831-position model. The record is from RNAcentral.